This 100-nucleotide ribosomal RNA is filed under the name Bittarella massiliensis (ex Durand et al. 2017). RNAcentral's name for it is "partial 23S ribosomal RNA". It matches the Rfam family "Bacterial large subunit ribosomal RNA", at positions 2825 to 2925 of the family's 2925-position model. Lineage: Bacteria; Bacillati; Bacillota; Clostridia; Eubacteriales; Oscillospiraceae. The record is from RNAcentral.
CAGGUAAGACCCCUUGAAGACUACGAGGUAGAUAGGCUGCAGGUGUACGCACGGUGACGUGUUGAGCUGGGCAGUACUAAUCGGUCGAGGGCUUGACCUU